Molecule: ribosomal RNA, 253 nt
Filed under: uncultured bacterium
Lineage: Bacteria
Description: partial 16S ribosomal RNA
Rfam family: Bacterial small subunit ribosomal RNA
Source: RNAcentral
UACGUAGGGGGCAAGCGUUGUCCGGAAUCAUUGGGCGUAAAGCGCACGCAGGCGGAUGCGCGCGUGGGGUGUGAAAUCUGGCCGCUUAACGGCCAGGCGCCAUCCCAUACGGCGCGUCUGGAGUGAUGCAGAGGUCGGUGGAAUUGCCGGUGUAGUGGUGAAAUGCGUAGAGAUCGGCAGGAACACCCAGGGGGAAACCAGCCGACUGGGCAUCUACUGACGCUGAGGUGCGAGAGCGUGGGGAGCGAACCGG